CUUUUUACCUAACCCACCCUGUCAACUUUCCCUGUGGGAGGAAACCGGAUUACCCGGGGAAAACCCACGGCUUUCGGCAGAGCGUUGACUUUUACUCUUUUCACAUGGGGACUGGGUUCGAGUCGCACUGAGAAGGUACUUAGUGAGACUCGAACCUGCAGCCUCAGAGGUGAAAGGCAAGUGCGCUAACCACUUGCCCACCGUUGCCCCAAAUCUCCCAAUCUCUAUCACAUAUAUAAAGAUACGACACGCUUAUGAUUUUUCUUUGUGUUUUCCGCAUGAAUUAUUAAUGAGUUUUUGAAAUACAUUUAUUAGACCUAACCAAGAAGAGCUGCAAUAAAUGCAACUAUGCGUCAUCUGGCAGGAAUCGAACCUCUCGAACCAUGGCCGUAGGAACCACGGAGGCAGCGGGGCUUGAGCCCCCCCCUAACUUUUAGAAGCAGAGGGCUGAGCCCCCUCAAAAAUUCUAAUUUCUAAGUGAAUCUCGAAG
This is a non-coding RNA of Paramuricea clavata, 490 nucleotides long. The record is from the annotation of a GenBank genome assembly. Lineage: Eukaryota; Metazoa; Cnidaria; Anthozoa; Malacalcyonacea; Plexauridae.